AGAGUUUGAUCCUGGCUCAGGACGAACGCUGGCGGCGUGCUUAACACAUGCAAGUCGAGCGAGCUGAUCCCUUCGGGGUGAAGCUAGCGGCGGACGGGUGAGUAACACGUGGGCAACCUGCCUCAUAGAGGGGAAUAGCCUCCCGAAAGGGAGAUUAAUACCGCAUAAGAUUGUAGUUCCGCAUGGAACAGCAAUUAAAGGAGCAAUCCGCUAUGAGAUGGGCCCGCGGCGCAUUAGCUAGUUGGUGAGGUAACGGCUCACCAAGGCGACGAUGCGUAGCCGACCUGAGAGGGUGAUCGGCCACAUUGGGACUGAGACACGGCCCAGACUCCUACGGGAGGCAGCAGUGGGGAAUAUUGCACAAUGGGGGAAACCCUGAUGCAGCAACGCCGCUGAGUGAUGACGGCCUUCGGGUUGUAAAGCUCUGUCUUCAGGGACGAUAAUGACGGUACCUGAGGAGGAAGCCCCACGGCUAACUACGUGCCAGCAGCCGCGGU
RNAcentral lists this ribosomal RNA (497 nucleotides) under uncultured bacterium. RNAcentral's name for it is "bacterial SSU rRNA". It matches the Rfam family "Bacterial small subunit ribosomal RNA", at positions 8 to 521 of the family's 1533-position model. The record is from RNAcentral.